GACACAAUAACUCACCAUAUAGACUGAGCCCUGGGGAGGAGCCUGUUGGGAAGCAAGGAGAGCGAAGAAAACACUUUUAAUGAACAACAAUUGAGAGAAAGUCAGGAGGAAGUUGAAAGGAGACAAACAGAUUCAGAGGAGAGAAACAUAAAAGUGUAUUGUGAUUCUCAUAGACGUUCUCUGCUUCACCCGAAUGGACAGACAGAGACUGUUCAAUACCUGAAUAUAAAGAGAUGGAGCCUCAUAGAUGAAUGCACACACUUAUCUGUAUAGGGAGGAAGGAGGUGGGGGCAGAUUUAUUUCAACAACCCCAGAGGAUGUCAUGGCCCACAUCACUCAGCGACAGCCGACAGGGACCGAAGAUGGACGGAACAUGGAAAGCUGUCAAAAAAGAAAUCGCCGGAAGACUCACCGCGAUCAGAAAUGUGUUUCUGUCUCCAUAGCAACACACCGACAGCUGCAGCAACCAGGGGCACAAGGAGUAAUAAAGCAGACAGAGAAGGAAGAGGGGAGGGGGUGGUGACACUCACACUCUCUACAAAAGAGGAAAAAAAGAAAAAAAAGUGGGUGAGGACAAAAGCAUGAAUGUUUCCAAGAACAGUGCUAAUUUAAAAUGCAUCGAAUGAUGAGACUGUGAGCUUCAUCGGCAUGAAGGCUGCCAGGGAACUCAAAGGUGUGCGCUCACAAAU
Long non-coding RNA from Oryzias melastigma (Indian medaka), 689 nucleotides. RefSeq lists it as uncharacterized. Lineage: Eukaryota; Metazoa; Chordata; Actinopteri; Beloniformes; Adrianichthyidae. The transcript is spliced from 2 exons. The record is from RefSeq and is a predicted model, not a curated record.